GAUGAACGCUAGCGGGAGGCCUAACACAUGCAAGCCGAGCGGUAUUGUUUCUUCGGAAAUGAGAGCGCGGCUCACGGGUGCGUAACACGUGUGCAACCUGCCUUUAUCUGGGGGCUAGCCUUUCGCAAGGAAGAUUAAUACUCCAUAAUAUAUUUAACGGCAUCGUUUAAUAUUGAAAGCCCCGGCGGAUAGAGAUGGGCACGCGCAAGAUUCGCUAGUUGGUGAGGUAACGGCUCACCAAGGCGAUGAUCUUUAGGGGGCCUGAGAGGGUGAUCCCCCAGACUGGUACUGAGACACGGACCAGACUCCUACGGGAGGCAGCAGUGAGGAAUAUUGGUCAAUGGGUGCAAGCCUGAACCAGCCAUCCCGCGUGAAGGACGACUGCCCUAUGGGUUGUAAACUUCUUUUGUAUAGGGAUAAACCUACCCUCGUGAGGGUAGCUGAAGGUACUAUACGAAUAAGCACCGGCUAACUCCGUGCCAGCCGCCGCAGUAA
Molecule: ribosomal RNA, 495 nt
Filed under: uncultured bacterium
Lineage: Bacteria
Description: partial 16S ribosomal RNA
Rfam family: Bacterial small subunit ribosomal RNA
Source: RNAcentral